Oncorhynchus nerka (sockeye salmon) is the source of this 3034-nucleotide long non-coding RNA. RefSeq lists it as uncharacterized. NCBI's taxonomy places the organism in Eukaryota, Metazoa, Chordata, Actinopteri, Salmoniformes, Salmonidae. The record is from RefSeq and is a predicted model, not a curated record. The transcript has 5 exons.
UCACAAUGGGGCUGUCAAAAUUGGGUCUUGUGAAAAAUGUACAGAGCUAAAUCAGAGCAUAUGCUGUCAAUGGGGGGGAUACAGAAUAAGGGAUCUAUUACAGUAUCUGGGUGCCCCCUAGCGUAUGGAUCCUUUCUGUCUCAAAUCGAGAUUCAAUUCCGAGGAGCCUUCCGACAUGGAAAAUGCCUCGUUCUCUCGUCUUCCACGUUGACCAAAGUAAUGUGCUCCCAUUUCAAACUGAGUGUUUUAGAAAAUGUCUUCUAAUUGACUUGGACUUCGUCGAGGUAUGCGUGUAGGUCUCUGUUUCGGCUCUUCAUAUCCUAUAUGCUCUGUAGGCACAGAGAAUGUUUGUAUAGGCUUUUAUUCGUUGAUUGAUAUAAUACUUGGUCUUGAGCGUAACAGUCAUUCUAAAGUUAACGCCAGGGUCUACAUAAUAUCCCUGUCUGCAGUGUAUCUUAUUGUUGUAUUGUGGAGUCUACAUGACCACUCCAUUGGCCUUCUCAUCUUGACGACUGCCGAAAAAUAAAUGUGGACAGUUCUUCCAACAUCUUCAAUCUGUUCCUCGGAAUUCGAUAAGAAGGACACGCGCAGUUGCAUCCCAAUGCAUCUGGCUUCACUCGUGAGCUACUUCGGAGCUGAGAUGCCUGUGAGAAGGACCCAAUCAGCCAAACAUGACGCAGAAAACGGACCGAUUUCUCCUGCACAAAUAAUCUUUCAGGAAAAACGGAACAUUUGCUAUCUAACUGAGAGUCUCCUCAUUGAAAACAUCCGAAGUUCUUCAAAGGAAAAACGGAACAUUUGCUAUCUAACUGAGAGUCUCCUCAUUGAAAACAUCCAAAGUUCUUCAAAGACUCUCUCCAGACACUCUCCACAGAAGAACAGGAGGACAUGAAGGUUGUUUCAUUUCUACCAUCUCCUGCAUUGUUACUUUUAAAUAUUUUUUUCUCUCUGACUUUGGUGAAUUCAGUUCCACCAAUGCACUCUAUCCUGUAAUCCAAAUAUCACAACAUGGUUCACUUACAGUACGUCCAUGAAAUUGCUAUUUGAUUGUUUGUUUUGAAUGUUGUCCCAGGUUAACCUGCUGGACUAAAGAAUGUGUUGAUCUAUUGUCAUUAUCAGGUGCAAUUGUUUAGAUAUGUUUUCCUCUUUCAACAGGUAAACGUACCCUGCUUCUCUGUCAGCAAGACAGGAUUCUCUGACAUAGCAAAGGGAGCCAUGUGCGUUUCACUGACCUAAAAGUCAGGGCAUUAUUGAGACAGGGAGAGAUGUGUGUGGAGAACUGAAUGAAGGGCUGAUCUCCACAUGAAAUGUCAUCACAACGCCAGAUUCAGCCCCUCAAUGUCAGGCAAUAAAGUCAAUGGAUUAAACACAUUGAGCCAAAACUCUCUAUUUCUGAUGGUUCUGAUGGAUGGAAUAAUAUUUUAUAUGGAUUGGUGAAGAACACGUUUGAAUGUAACAUAAACUGAAUAAGUGUUACUCACAUUUCUUCUUCUAAAUAAUCAAUUUUUCUGAAUUGUAAAUUACAUUAGGCCAACACACUGAUUAUUCUGUUAUAUCAAAUUGUAGCUUGCAUGUUGACUUCACAAGAAUAGCUAGCUAGCUAAUUAAGUAGCUAAUACUUUGUAUGAUGCCACGAUGUUUCAUGAAAUAUCAUGCCAAUGCUAAAUCUGCCAGCUAGCUAGCAAACAAGCUUCAGAGCAUACCCAUCUUACAGACACAUAAAUCAAUCAACAACAGCUUUAUAGGCUACAGUGCCUGAACCAACCUGAUUUUAAAAUGCUGCUGGCUAGCUAGGAGAGGACAACAUAUAGCUAGCUUUAUCAAAGCAGUCAUUUUGACUUUGAGGUAAUGCGGGUUCGAUUGAGCCCCUAGCUACAUGUGCAUCCUCCAGACAUAACAUUUGCUGUAGGACCAUACUCAUAUUUAGUCAGAAAAGCUCUGAGAUUGAACUUACAUUGAGGGAAACAGCUGCUUCACAUUUCUAAUGCCUGGAACAAUGUAAAGAUCGUAUGUUUGGACAGGUUUGGGCAAAAAUGGAGGUCAUUCUUUUGGGGGAGAUGUCAGUCAUCUCUGUCAGCCUCUAGAAAUAAACAGUAAAAUAACAUUGGCCUUCUUUGGGUCCUGCUGUAUUUUCACUUUCCUAUUUGUCUGGUUCAAAACAAGUGCACUUUUGAAAUGUGGGGUUUGUUCUCACCCUGUUUUUAUUUUACCGUAGGAUAAUCAUAUUUUAUCACACAAUAACUAUGACAUAGUUAUUAUACAGUAAUAUUCACCUGUCACUGAUGCAAUGGUAUCCUGUAGCACACUAGGUGGCUAUGCUUUGAGCUGGAGUCAGUUAGAUCACAGCCAAAAGAAGGGCGACACAAUUCACCCCUUGACCCUCAACCCUGCAGCUGCACUAUCGAUCUAUAGCUGAAGUACUCUACUGUGUUUUUGUCACCCAUUCACCCAGCCAUGUGUAAUCGAUCCCUCCAUAUGUCUGAAAAAACACUUCAAGGUCCAAAUAUUAUCACCUUGGUCAGCUGGACCACGUGCACUCCCUUUUAUAUUUAAAUACAGUAAAAGCAUAAGAGGAAUGGGCUUGGAAAGAAACCAUUACUACUGGACAAGUCAGGGGCAGCCCCAACUUACAGAGAAAGAGUAAGAGGUGGAGUAAUUAUCACACCACGUCUAAGUCUCGCCUGGCCUCCCAAAGACCCCUUGCCCCUGUGCUAUACAAUGUUCUAGUCUGGCCUAACCAUACGGGUGAAUCCAAAGCCAAUUCCAUCUUCUGAAUUUAGUUCAAAUGUAAUGUUUUAAAUUUGUAUUUGAAGGUAUACAUUUUAGUAACAUCAAGUACUCCAAUCAAAAGCAUGCAAACAACAUUGUGCGGUAACGGUAGCCCACUAGAAUAAAUAGUUUUAGGCCUCCAUAAAGAUGUUUACAAACUUCUAGGAGAGAAAGUGUAAAAACUUCUAGGAGAAUUAUGAACUAUUUUAAACACAAUUGUUUUUAGCAUGUGGCGUUUUUAUGUACACUAAACAGUUAAAAUACA